ACUCAAAUGAAUAGACGGGGGCCCGCACAAGCGGCGGAGCAUGUUGCUUAAUUCGAGGCAACGCGAAGAACCUUACCUGGGUUUGACAUGCUGGGAAAAGCCACAGAGAUGUGGUGUCCUUCGGGGCCCAGCACAGGUGGUGCAUGGCUGUCGUCAGCUCGUGUCGUGAGAUGUUGGGUUAAGUCCCGCAACGAGCGCAACCCUUAUCCUAUGUUGCCAGCGCGUAAUGGCGGGGACUCGUGGGAGACUGCCGGGGUCAACUCGGAGGAAGGUGGGGACGACGUCAAGUCAUCAUGCCCCUUAUAUCCAGGGCUGCAAACAUGCUACAAUGGCCGGUACAAAGGGCUGCGAAACCGCGAGGUCGAGCGAAUCCCAUAAAGCCGGUCUCAGUUCGGAUUGAAGUCUGCAACUCGACUUCAUGAAGCUGGAGUCGCUAGUAAUCCCGGAUCAGCAACGCCGGGGUGAAUACGUUCCCGGGCCUUGUACACACCGCCCGU
Molecule: ribosomal RNA, 497 nt
Filed under: uncultured bacterium
Lineage: Bacteria
Description: partial 16S ribosomal RNA
Rfam family: Bacterial small subunit ribosomal RNA
Source: RNAcentral